AAACAGAUCAUAGAUUGGACGGGUUUAUGGAGAACUGAUUCAGUAACCCGAAUAAUUUUGUGGUGUCAAAAGUGCGAAACUGUGAAUAUGAGCCAUCGGGUGAAGUGUGGUGUACUUAGCAAUCAAAGCUACUAAACUGCACAAGAGCACUAUCCGCAGACUGAGCAUCUAUCUCUGUUCUGCAAAAAAUCUUCAAGGCUUCAAUGUCCACUGCCACUUUUCUCUCUGCUUCCCUUCUGUCAAACACACCCAAUUUUUUUAAUUGCUCAAAUCCAAGUUCAUCAUCAACUGCUGCUAGAAAUGCCAUCUCCGCCUCUUCCAAGCCCCUGUGCCGAAAUCCUCCCAGAAACUUCAAUUCUAGUUAUCCUUCCAAAUCUCUCAGGGUUCCUCCAUGUGAAGCAAAAACCCUUUUAAAAAGCAGCAGCAGCAGCAGCAACAACAACAAUAGUGACAGUCAAUCCCCAAGUUCCAAAGUUUUAUUUCUAUCAGAGACCUUGUCGAGUUCCAAUGGUUUCGUUAAGAUGCCUGCAGCUCCUUGGAUGAAGGGCCCUCUUCUCCUUCCUCCCAGUGAAGUCCUAGACUUCUCCAAAAGCAAGAAGAAGAGUAGUUCCAAAGGCGAAGAUGAUGAAAACUACGAUUCGUGGUUGACUGAGAAAGUUAAAGGAGGAAGAGGGAGGCAAGCAAUGCGUGAUAUAGUUCGAAGCAUUACCAAGCUUAAAGAAACCCGCGAUUCAGAGGUACCCCAUAAUCUACCAGAGGAUGGAGAAUUUGAAUUUCGGGUUUCGCUCGACAAGGUUGGUGGAGAUGGGAAUUCGAAAUUGGGUGGGAAAAUGCCAUGGGCCAGGGGUGAGAAGAUUGUCAUUCCGAGACCGAAGAAGGACAAGGUGGUGACUGCGGCGCAGUUGACUCUUCCUAAAGUGCUUCUCAAAAGAUUGAGGAUUGAAGCAGCGAGAAUGAAGAAAUGGGUGAAGGUUAAGAAAGCAGGGGUUACUCAAGCUGUGGUGGAUGAAAUUAGGUUUAUUUGGAGGAACAAUGAACUUGCAAUGCUUAAGUUCGAUAUACCGUUAUGCCGUAAUAUGGAUAGGGCUCGGGAGAUUGUCGAGACGAAAACUAGAGGCUUGGUUGUUUGGUGUAAGAAAGACACUCUUGUUGUUUAUAGAGGAUGCAAUCAUCAAUCAUCCACCUUGAAAAUCAUUCAUGGGGAGUCAAAAGAUCAGAUGACUACAUCUCAAGUGAAAUCUGUUGGGUUUGCAACAAUUGAUAAUAUGGCUGCGAAGGGCAGAAUACUUGAUUCUCUUUCUAGUGGUUUUUGUGUUGAAGAAAAUGAGGCUAUGCAAUCAGUAAGUGGGACUCUAUAUGAAAGGGAAGCUGACAGACUUCUGGAUGGUUUAGGGCCUCGUUUUAUUGAUUGGUGGAGGCCAAAACCAUUGCCUAUUGAUGCAGACUUGCUUCCAGAAGUGGUUACUGACUUUCAGCCUCCAUUUAGGCUGUCUCCUCCCAAUGAGAGACCAAAGCUCACUGAUGAUGAACUGACAUACUUGAGGAAGCUUGCUCGACCUUUACCCACACAUUUUGUUCUUGGAAGAAAUAAAUAUAUUCAAGGCUUGGCUGCUGCCAUCUUAAAGUUGUGGGAAAAGAGUCUUAUUGUGAAGAUUGCAGUGAAGUGGGGAGUUCCAAAUGUGAACAAUGAAGAAAUGGCAUCGGAGCUCAAGCGUCUUACAGGAGGAGUUCUGAUCUUAAGGAAUAAAUUCUUUAUCAUACUUUAUAGAGGCAAGGACUUCCUUCCUAGCAGAGUAGCAAAUUUGAUUUCGGGCAGAGAAGCAGAACUCAGAAGAUUCCAUCUGCAGGAAGAAGAUGCACGUCAGAAAGCAUUUCAAUCUCUUUAUGUUACUGAUGACGCACUCACAAAUGGUAGCACUGUGGGAACUUUUUCAGAAUUUCAAUAUAUUCAAACAAAGUGUGUGCACCUGGACAGUGGGAAUGGGGAUCUUGAAGUCAAAAUUGAAGCUGAAAAAGAGAAAUUAAAAAAGGAGCUUAGAAAGCAAGAACGCAGGCUUUAUAUACUUAAAUCAAAGAUAGAGAUAUCAGAGAGGCAUUUAGCUAAGCUAAAUUCAGCAUGGAAACCUUCUGAACCAGUUGCAGACAGGGAAAUGAUAACUGAAGAAGAGAGACAAUGCUUCCGGAAGAUAGGCCGGAAAAUGAAUAGAUUCUUGGUACUUGGGAGGCGUGGGGUCUUUGAUGGUGUAAUAGGGGGCCUACAUCAGCACUGGAAGCACAGAGAAAUUGUCAAAGUAGUUACAUUGCAAAGACAGUUUUUUCAGGUUAUGGAUACUGCAAGACUUCUUGAGAUUGAGAGUGAUGGGAUAUUGGUUUCAAUUGAAAAGUUGAGGAAGGGCCAUGCUAUAAUUCUUUACCGUGGGAAAAACUAUAGGCGCCAACUGAAGUUAGAGCCAGAAAAUCUCCUUACAAAAAGAGCAGCAUUAGACCGAUCACUGGAAAUGCAGAGAAUAGGUUCACUGAAGUUUUUUGCAUAUCAGAGACAGCGGACGAUAUCAGAUUUGAAACUUAAACUCAAACAAAAAUGCAGAUGGAUUUACAAAGAAGAGGGGAGGAAAUAGCAUGAAGAAAAUCUAGAAAUCAUGAUUUCUUGAGUAACAUUAUAUGUGUUAUCAUUCCAUCCGUCCUCUUUGUGUUAAUUCCUUCAUCUUAUAUGGAGGGAUGAUGAGAAGAAUUUGCAUAUCUUAUCAAGGCAAUCAUAUUUUGUUUCAAUGAUAUGCUUUGCAAGCGGUUGAACAGACUUCAAGUACAUACAGAUAAAUACGAGGGUGACGAGAAACGACCCAAAGUUUGCAUUCUGUUGGGAAAAUGCAGGUUGAGUUCUUAAUACGUGUGGAGUAUGAGGAAUUGUUGUCAGAGAAGCGAGGACAAUGGGUGCAUCUAGUAGACUAUUCCUGGAAAAAUCCAACUUACUAUUCUAGCCUUAUGGGAAACAUAUGCAAAACAAAAGAUGAAUCAACAUGGAUUUCUAUGAAAAGAGCUAGUGAUUAGCGUUAGGUCGGUAGGGUUAAACAAGCAUGUGGAUUAAGUGGGUUGUUUACUUUUGAGAGUAUACAUCAUUUCAGUGCUAUCUUGCCAACCCUCUCACAAUCUUGGAGGAGGUAUUAGCCCAAUAUCUAAAACUAGGCAGCUUCAUCAACAAUUCUAAAUUCAAAUGUAUUUGUAGCUUCAAUAAUGUUUGUUCUUGUGGCAGUACCAUAAAAACUUUUGACUAUGAUGGGGAAACUUUCUGGAGACAUUGAACGAGAAGAUAGGUAAGGAUUGGGUUGGAUCUACAGGGAAGUAAUACUUCCUUCAAACAUUUCCACAACUUUACCCAUUGGUGUUCGAUUGAAAGGAUCAGUCUGCAUGCUCAUAACCUGACCAAACCCUUCUUUCUCACAAUUUCCUUUUCUAUCCGCAGUGGUUAUAAGCCUUUGCAGUCCUAGAUACUGUUUAAGACGCUUAUAGACCCAAAGUGAAGAAUAUAUUUCACUACCAUGAUCUACUACGACAUCGAUGUUCUCUCUUCCUCCAACAUUUUCGAAACCACGUCACCAAAGAUAUAGAUAUGAUCAUGGUAGGCUCCAAAUUUUUUGACAGAAGAGGAUGGUUCAUAAGUACUAGGAUCACGCUUGCAUAUCUGAAUGGUAAGAUUAAUUGGGCUUAUCUGUUGGAAAGAAAGAUGAGGGAAAAAGGGUUGCAUGGAUAGUGAAAUUCUGAGAUUUUGGACAAGGGGAAACAUGUUAGUAACUGAAAGAUAUACUGAUUUGAUCAGUUGUGAUUGCUAUUCAUGAAGCAUUAUGAAGAGAUACAGCUAGCUUGGCGUAA
RNA transcript from Macadamia integrifolia, 3867 nucleotides. It is a transcript of the gene named chloroplastic group IIA intron splicing facilitator CRS1, chloroplastic, with no coding region annotated. The transcript is spliced from 10 exons. NCBI's taxonomy places the organism in Eukaryota, Viridiplantae, Streptophyta, Magnoliopsida, Proteales, Proteaceae. The record is from RefSeq and is a predicted model, not a curated record.